GGGAGAGGCUGAAUUCCAAAGACAGACUUGCUUCUGUACUCUGAGUGAUACUUCCAGAGCUGUUGAUCUGUUGAUGGAUGCCUCACUGAGAAAGAUCAUACCAUUGUGGCCUUCCCUGCUAACUUUUCAUUUUGAACUGAGAGCUUGUGGCCAUGAAGUGGACUCAGAAGGCUAAAACUGGAUCUUUCUAUUUGGAAACAACAGCUGGAUGUAGGGAUGUAAAAGCUCACGCCAGGCCUCCCAGAUGUUUUUCAGACUGAACCUAUCCAGAAUUGUGAUUCAUGACUCACCAGAUCCUGUGGCCCCCCUAUCCAGGGGUGCACUCAGCACAUGAGGACGCCUGUGAUUCUGCCCCUAUGAGUUCAUCCCCAACCAGUCAGCAAUACCCAUUCCUUAACCCCCUGCCUGGCAAACUGUCUGGGAGACUGAUUUGAGUGAUAACUCCAAUUCUCUUGUGUGGGCCAGCCACAUAUCAAUAAAACUCUUUCUCUACUGCAAUGCCAUGGUCUCAGUGGAUUGAUUUUGUCUGUACACUGGGGCAGGAAGAACCCAUCAGGG
This 558-nucleotide long non-coding RNA is filed under the name Homo sapiens (human). Its description in RNAcentral is "HSALNT0105399". The record is from RNAcentral. Lineage: Eukaryota; Metazoa; Chordata; Mammalia; Primates; Hominidae.